RNAcentral lists this transfer RNA (75 nucleotides) under Bacillus sp. OG2. RNAcentral describes it as "tRNA-Cys". It matches the Rfam family "tRNA". Rfam says of the family: Transfer RNA (tRNA) molecules are approximately 80 nucleotides in length. Their secondary structure includes four short double-helical elements and three loops (D, anti-codon, and T loops). Lineage: Bacteria; Bacillati; Bacillota; Bacilli; Caryophanales; Bacillaceae. The record is from RNAcentral.
GGCGGCAUAGUCAAGCGGUAAGGCAAGGGUCUGCAGAACCUUUAUGCCCCGGUUCGAAUCCGGGUGCCGCCUCCA